RNAcentral lists this ribosomal RNA (497 nucleotides) under uncultured bacterium. Its description in RNAcentral is "partial 16S ribosomal RNA". It matches the Rfam family "Bacterial small subunit ribosomal RNA", at positions 28 to 507 of the family's 1533-position model. The record is from RNAcentral.
GAUGAACGCUGGCGGCGUGCCUAAUACAUGCAAGUCGAGCGAACAGACGCUGAGCUUGCUCCUCUGACGUUAGCGGCGGACGGGUGAGUAACACGUGGAUAACCUACCUAUAAGACUGGGAUCACUUCGGGAAACCGGAGCUAAUCCCGGAUAAUAUCUUGAACCGCAUGGUUCAAUAGUGAAAUACGGUUUUGCUGGCUCUUCUAGAUGCAUCCGGGCCGCAUUAGCUAGUAGUUACGGUAACGGCUUACCAAGGCAACGAUGCGUAGCCGACGGGCGAGGGUGAUAGCCCGCCCUGGAGCUGAGACGCGGACAAGACUCCUAAGGGAGGCAGCAGUAGGGAAUCUGAGGCAAUGGGCGAAAGUCUGACGGAGCAACGCGACGUGAGAGACGAAGGUCUUCGGAUCGUAAAACUCUGUUAUUAGGGAAGAACAAAUGUGUAAGUAACUAUGCACGUCUUGACGGUACCUAAUAAGAAAGCCACGGCUAACUACGUG